GACGAACGCUGGCGGCGUGCCUAAUACAUGCAAGUCGAACGCACAGUUUAUACCGUAGCUUGCUACACCAUAGACUGUGAGUUGCGAACGGGUGAGUAACGCGUAGGUAACCUGCCUGGUAGCGGGGGAUAACUAUUGGAAACGAUAGCUAAUACCGCAUAAUAUUGAUUAUUGCAUGAUAAUUGAUUGAAAGAUGCUAUUGCAUCACUACCAGAUGGACCUGCGUUGUAUUAGCUAGUAGGUGAGGUAACGGCUCACCUAGGCGACGAUACAUAGCCGACCUGAGAGGGUGAUCGGCCACACUGGGACUGAGACACGGCCCAGACUCCUACGGGAGGCAGCAGUAGGGAAUCUUCGGCAAUGGAAGAAAGUCUGACCGAGCAACGCCGCGGGAGUGAAGAAGGGUUUCGGAUCGUAAAGCUCUGUUGUAAGAGAAGAACGGGUGUGAGAGUGGAAAGUUCACACCGUGACGGUAUCUUACCAGAAAGGGACGGCUAACUACGUG
This 505-nucleotide ribosomal RNA is filed under the name uncultured bacterium. Its description in RNAcentral is "partial 16S ribosomal RNA". It matches the Rfam family "Bacterial small subunit ribosomal RNA", at positions 28 to 507 of the family's 1533-position model. The record is from RNAcentral.